RNAcentral lists this ribosomal RNA (422 nucleotides) under uncultured prokaryote. RNAcentral describes it as "bacterial SSU rRNA". It matches the Rfam family "Bacterial small subunit ribosomal RNA", at positions 355 to 774 of the family's 1533-position model. The record is from RNAcentral.
UAAGGAAUAUUGGUCAAUGGGCGCAAGCCUGAACCAGCCAUGCCGCGUGCAGGAAGACGGCCCUAUGGGUUGUAAACUGCUUUUGUCAGGGAAUAAACCUUUGUACGAGUACAGAGCUGAAGGUACCUGAAGAAUAAGCAUCGGCUAACUCCGUGCCAGCAGCCGCGGUAAUACGGAGGAUGCAAGCGUUAUCCGGAUUCAUUGGGUUUAAAGGGUGCGCAGGCGGAUUGGUAAGUCAGGGGUGAAAGCCCACAGCUCAACUGGGGAACUGCCCUUGAUACUGGCAGGCUAGAGUAGAGUUGAAGUUGGCGGAAUGUGUCAUGUAGCGGUGAAAUGCUUAGAUAUGACACAGAACACCGAUCGCGAAGGCAGCUAGCUAAGCUAUAACUGACGCUCAUGCACGAAAGCGUGGGGAUCAAACA